RNAcentral lists this ribosomal RNA (518 nucleotides) under uncultured bacterium. RNAcentral describes it as "bacterial SSU rRNA". It matches the Rfam family "Bacterial small subunit ribosomal RNA", at positions 30 to 531 of the family's 1533-position model. The record is from RNAcentral.
AUUGAACGCUGGCGGCAUGCUUUACACAUGCAAGUCGAACGGCAGCGCGGGGGCAACCCUGGCGGCGAGUGGCGAACGGGUGAGUAAUGUAUCGGAACGUAUCCUGUAAUGGGGGAUAACCAGUCGAAAGAUUGGGUAAUACCGCAUACGCACGAGAGUGGAAAGUAGGGGAUCGCAAGACCUUACGUUAUAGGAGCGGCCGAUAUCUGAUUAGCUAGUUGGUGGGGUAAAGGCCUACCAAGGCGACGAUCAGUAGCUGGUCUGAGAGGACGACCAGCCACACUGGGACUGAGACACGGCCCAGACUCCUACGGGAGGCAGCAGUGGGGAAUUUUGGACAAUGGGCGAAAGCCUGAUCCAGCCAUGCCGCGUGCAGGAAGAAGGCCUCGGUUGUAACUAGCUUAGUCUAGGAAAAGGGUAGGACGAGGUUAAGUAACCUCCGUGCUUUGUAUGGUACGUGGUAAGAAGUAAAGACACCGGCGUAACCUACGUAGUCCGAGCAGCCGCGGUAACGUAGU